Molecule: unclassified non-coding RNA, 350 nt
Filed under: soil metagenome
Description: partial contains 5.8S ribosomal RNA, internal transcribed spacer 2, and large subunit ribosomal RNA
Rfam family: 5.8S ribosomal RNA (bases 1-120)
Source: RNAcentral
GAUGAAGAACGUAGCGAACUGCGAUAAGUAAUGUGAAUUGCAGAAUUCAGUGAAUCAUCGAGUCUUUGAACGCACAUUGCGCCCCCUGGCAUUCCGGGGGGCAUGCCUGUCCGAGCGUCAUUGCUGCCCUUCAAGCCCGGCUUGUGUGUUGGGUCGUCGUCCCCCCCGGGGGACGGGCCCGAAAGGCAGCGGCGGCACCGCGUCCGGUCCUCGAGCGUAUGGGGCUUUGUCACCCGCUCGAUUAGGGCCGGCCGGGCGCCAGCCGGCGUCUCCAACCUUCUAUUUUACCAGGUUGACCUCGGAUCAGGUAGGAAUACCCGCUGAACUUAAGCAUAUCAAUAAGCGGAGGA